AUACGUAGGUGGCAAGCGUUAAUCGGAUUUACUGGGCGUAAAGCGCGCGUAGGUGGCUAAUUAAGUCAAAUGUGAAAUCCCCGAGCUUAACUUGGGAAUUGCAUUCGAUACUGGUUAGCUAGAGUAUGGGAGAGGAUGGUAGAAUUCCAGGUGUAGCGGUGAAAUGCGUAGAGAUCUGGAGGAAUACCGAUGGCGAAGGCAGCCAUCUGGCCUAAUACUGACACUGAGGUGCGAAAGCAUGGGGAGCAAACAGGAUUAGAUACCCUGGUAGUCCAUGCCGUAAACGAUGUCUACUAGCCGUUGGGGCCCUUGAGGCUUUAGUGGCGCAGCUAACGCGAUAAGUAGACCGCCUGGGGAGUACGGUCGCAAGACUAAAACUCAAAUGAAUUGACGGGG
RNAcentral lists this ribosomal RNA (396 nucleotides) under uncultured bacterium. RNAcentral describes it as "partial 16S ribosomal RNA". It matches the Rfam family "Bacterial small subunit ribosomal RNA", at positions 523 to 918 of the family's 1533-position model. The record is from RNAcentral.